GGAGGAUCCAAGCGUUAUCCGGAAUCAUUGGGUUUAAAGGGUCCGUAGGCGGUUUGGUAAGUCAGUGGUGAAAGCCCAUCGCUCAACGGUGGAACGGCCAUUGAUACUGCCAGACUUGAAUUAUUAGGAAGUAACUAGAAUAUGUAGUGUAGCGGUGAAAUGCUUAGAGAUUACAUGGAAUACCAAUUGCGAAGGCAGGUUACUACUAAUGGAUUGACGCUGAUGGACGAAAGCGUGGGUAGCGAACAGGAUUAGAUACCCUGGUAGUCCACGCCGUAAACGAUGGAUACUAGCUGUUGGGAGCAAUCUCAGUGGCUAAGCGAAAGUGAUAAGUAUCCCACCUGGGGAGUACGUUCGCAAGAAUG
This 365-nucleotide ribosomal RNA is filed under the name uncultured bacterium. Its description in RNAcentral is "bacterial SSU rRNA". It matches the Rfam family "Bacterial small subunit ribosomal RNA", at positions 527 to 896 of the family's 1533-position model. The record is from RNAcentral.